UAUACCGUGAAACUGCGAAUGGCUCAUUAAAUCAGUUAUCGUUUAUUUGAUAGUACCUUACUACUUGGAUAACCGUGGUAAUUCUAGAGCUAAUACAUGCUGAAAAUCCCGACUUCGGAAGGGAUGUGUUUAUUAGAUAAAAAACCAAUGCCCUUCGGGGCUCCUUGGUGAUUCAUGAUAACUUACGGAUCGCAUAGCCUUGCGCUGGCGACGGUUCAUUCAAAUUUCUGUCCUAUCAACUUUCGAUGGUAAGGUAUUGGCUUACCAUGGUUUCAACCGGUAACGGGGAAUUAGGGUUCGAUUCCGGAGAGGGAGCCUGAGAAACGGCUACCACAUCCAAGGAAGGCAGCAGGCGCGCAAAUUACCCAAUCCCGACACGGGGAGGUAGUGACAAUAAAUACUGAUACAGGGCUCUUUUGGGUCUUGUAAUUGGAAUGAGUACAAUUCAAAUCUCUUAACGAGGAACAAUUGGAGGGCAAGUCUGGUGCCAGCAGCCGCGGUAAUUCCAGCUCCAAUAGCGUAUAUUAAAGUUGUUGCAGUUAAAAAGCUCGUAGUUGAAACUUGGGCCUGGCUGGCGGGUCCGCCUCACCGCGUGCACUCGUCCGGCCGGGCCUUCCUUCUGAAGAACCUCAUGCCCUUCACUGGGCGUGCUGGGGAAUCAGGACUUUUACUUUGAAAAAAUUAGAGUGUUCAAAGCAGGCCUUUGCUCGAAUACGUUAGCAUGGAAUAAUAAAAUAGGGCGUGCGUUUCUAUUUUGUUGGUUUCUAGAGACGCCGCAAUGAUUAACAGGAACAGUCGGGGGCAUCAGUAUUCAGUUGUCAGAGGUGAAAUUCUUGGAUUUACUGAAGACUAACUACUGCGAAAGCAUUUGCCAAGGAUGUUUUCAUUAAUCAGUGAACGAAAGUUAGGGGAUCGAAGACGAUCAGAUACCGUCGUAGUCUUAACCGUAAACUAUGCCGACUAGGGAUCGGGCGAUGUUCUUUUUCUGACUCGCUCGGCACCUUACGAGAAAUCAAAGU
RNAcentral lists this ribosomal RNA (1019 nucleotides) under Alternaria hampshirensis. Its description in RNAcentral is "SSU rRNA". It matches the Rfam family "Eukaryotic small subunit ribosomal RNA", at positions 75 to 1104 of the family's 1831-position model. The record is from RNAcentral. Lineage: Eukaryota; Fungi; Ascomycota; Dothideomycetes; Pleosporales; Pleosporaceae.